Molecule: long non-coding RNA, 1633 nt
Organism: Coturnix japonica (Japanese quail)
Lineage: Eukaryota; Metazoa; Chordata; Aves; Galliformes; Phasianidae
Source: Ensembl
AUGGGGGACCCAAUAAAACAUAUAAAUGAAGGUCUUGGGAACCCAUGUGUUGCCCACUGAGGGAUAUCCCAUGCACUUAAAAGUUUGGCAAUGGGGGAUCCCAAUACACUAGGAGGUUUGGGAUCCACUAUAAGGUUUGGCCAUUGAGGACCCCAAUACACUAUGAGGUUUGGGAUCCAAUGUGAGGUUUGCCCAUGGGGGAUCCCAAUACAAGGUUUGGCCAUGGGGGACCCCAAUACAUUAUGCGGUCUGGAACCCAUUGGUUUGGCCACGAGGGAUCCCCAAUACACUAUGAGGUUUGGCAAAUGGGGGAUCCCAAUACACCUUGAAGUCUGGGACCCAUUGGUUUGGCAAUGGGGGAUCCCAACACACCUUGAGGUUUGGGAUCCAAUAUGAGUUUUGGCCAUGGGGGACCCCGAUACACUAUGAGGUCUAGGACCCAUUGGUUUGGCUAUGGGGGAUCCCAAUACACCUUGAGGUUUGGGAUCCAAUAUAAGGUUUGGCAAUGGAGGACCCCAACACACUAUGAGGUUUGGAACCCAUUGGUUUGGCCAUUGGGGGAUCCCAAUACACAAUUGAGGUCUGGGAUCUAUUGGUUGGUCUAUGGGGAUCCUAUGACACAAUUAAGGUUUGGCAAUGGGGGACCCCAAUACACCUUGAGUUUGGGAUCCACUAUAAGGUUUGGCCAUGGGGGAUCCCAAUACACUAUGAGGUUUGAGACCCAUUGGUUUGUCCAUAGUGGACCCCAAUACACCAUGAGGUCUGGGAUCCACUCUAAUGGGAUCCCAAUACACCUUUAGUUUGGGAUCCCCCCGUUGGGUUCCGGUCGAUCCCACCCCUUGUGAGUCCGGGACGUGGCGGUUUCGGUUCGUAGAGCAGAACCGGGUCACGGGACCGGCUCUAUUGGGUUCUAUGGGGGGGUCCCCAACCGGGGGGUCCCAACUUGGGGGUCCCGAGCACCGCGGGGAUCCCCGGCACCGCCAUGUUGGACCCCGUUACCCAACCCCCCCCCAACCCCCUCCCGGGACCCCCCCGGUACCGGACCCUCCCCCAUAUCGGUCACCAUAGUAACGAACCCCCCGCUGUCCGUCCAUCCGCCAUUACCGGCCGCUCCGCCGCCCUCUCCCCGCCGCUCCGCCGCACCGACCGGAAGUAGCGCCGCGCCACGCCGCACGCUCCCGCCUCCUUCCUACGCUGACCAAUCAGAAAGCACCCACCCCUCGGGGUGUUGCAAGCGACGCGCGCUGAUUGGUUUAUCCCGCUGCCCGUCAGCGCGUUGUCCCGCCUCACUCCAUCAGUCCCCCUCCUCGUGGCCCCGCCCACUCGUUCCCCGCCGCGGGCGCUGAUUGGAUGGAAAGCGCCACGUCCUCAAGCGCGCGCCGGAGGAUGGCCACGCCCACAUCGGCGCGUCGACGCACUGCGCAUGCGCGGGGAGAGAGCGGAGGGACGGAGCGGAGGUCACGUGGGGGGGUCGGAUACGGAGUGGGGGAGGGGCUGGGAUUGGGGUCAGGGAUGGGAUUAAGGGUUGGGGUUGGGAUUAAGGGUUGGGAUGGGAUUAAGGGUUGGGGUUGGGAUUAGGGAUUAGGGGUUGGGGUUAAGGAUUAAGGGUUGGGGUUGGGAUUAGGGAUUAGGG